UGAGAGAGUGAACGGCCACAUUGGGACUGAGACACGGCCCAAACUCCUACGGGAGGCAGCAGUGGGGAAUAUUGCACAUUGGGGGAAACCCUGAUGCAGCGACGCCGCGUGAAGGAAGAAGUAUUUCGGUAUGUAAACUUCUAUCAGCAGGGAAGAUUAUGACGUACCUGACUAAGAAGCUCCGGCUAAAUACGUGCCAGCAGC
This 204-nucleotide ribosomal RNA is filed under the name uncultured Clostridiaceae bacterium. RNAcentral's name for it is "partial 16S ribosomal RNA". It matches the Rfam family "Bacterial small subunit ribosomal RNA", at positions 293 to 515 of the family's 1533-position model. The record is from RNAcentral. Lineage: Bacteria; Bacillati; Bacillota; Clostridia; Eubacteriales; Clostridiaceae.